CAGACUAGGAUCACAGUCCCUACUACUAUGGGAAGUAUGGAGUUGAGAUGUUAAUAUUCCACAGCUCAUUACUUAUGGAAUGCAGAUUACUACAUCAGAGAACUCAUUCUGUUUGAUUUGUUGAUUUCAAUAACUACAAAAGACUUCAAGAAUAAUAGUUUAUUGUAAAAUCUUUUUUUCUUGCCAAAUGCAUUUAUGUACAUUUCUUGUAGUUUAGAGUUUGAAGGUGUUUGUGUGAUGUCUCUCGAUCAACCACCAAACUUCCCAGCUUGGAAUCCACUUCAGAAUGUGUUUGUUCAAUAACAAAUCUGUAUAUAUAAAUAUUUCUCCUAACUAUGUUUGGUUGUACUUCUGAUAACUUGUAAGUAUUCAACUCUUGUCUAGUGGCAUGCCUUGUGGUCUAGGUUGUGUUAUUCACUAGAAGCUAAGACUGGUUGACAAGAGUUCUACAAGCUGAGAUUGGCUUGACUUUUGGUGAUUUGGAUAGUAUUUUAUUUCAAUGUUGUUCCUUGUAAAUGUUUGAAUAUUUAUAAACAUUUUGAACUGGGAAACAUUCAUUAUUAAAAUACAUUUUAUUCUCUGAACCCAAAAACAUUUUUGUGUUUGUAGCCUAGAAGUAGUGUCAUUCAAACUUAAUCAGAUCACAUGAUUUCUUGGAUCUACUCAAAGGCCACGCUUGAGAUUAUCUUGCUUUAUAAAACAUAAUUCAAACAUAUGUACACAAUUAUUUGUAUAAUA
Molecule: non-coding RNA, 738 nt
Organism: Biomphalaria pfeifferi
Lineage: Eukaryota; Metazoa; Mollusca; Gastropoda; Planorbidae
Source: the annotation of a GenBank genome assembly